Carassius auratus (goldfish) is the source of this 3470-nucleotide long non-coding RNA. The record is from Ensembl. Lineage: Eukaryota; Metazoa; Chordata; Actinopteri; Cypriniformes; Cyprinidae.
AUGGCAGACACGAAGGUUGACUCCGCGACAGAAAUCUCCGCAAAGGACCUGAAGGAGAAGAAACUCCUCGAGGAGAAGGAAAAUGGAAAAGAUGCCACUAACGGAAAGGAGAAUGAAGAAAAUGGAGAGCCUGAAAUUGAUGAUGAAGAGGAUGAUGAGGUGGAUGAGGAAGAUGAAGAGGAAGGAGAGGGUGAUGAAGAUGAGGACGAUGAUGAAGAUGAUGAUGAGCUAGGUGGAGGAACAAAACGGGCUGCUGAUGAUGACGAUGAAGAAGAUGAGGAUGAUAUUGACCCCAAGAAGCAGAAGACGGAUGAUGAUGAUUAAAUGAUUGUUUCAUAUUGUGGAGCAGGAGUGGAUGCCUCUGCUUUAACCCAAACCGUUGGAGCCGGUGGCAUAAAGGACUCAAAUACAUAAAACAUGGUCAUUUUCAAGUCAGUCACCCAUGUUAACCAACUUGACCCCAAUUAAAAAUUUUCUAGAGGACCGACCACAUCUCAGAUUUUCAGCAUUCACAAUGAAAAUACACAAGACAAGGAUUUGUUUGUAUUUUUAUUUACAUUUUAUAUUUUUGUACAUAUAUUGUGAAGAGGUCAGCCACUUUAUCAUGAUCUCCUGUGACCAAAACGGUGCUUCUUUAUGGAAAUUUUACUUGUUUGGUUUGACCAUGUCUCAAUAUUUCAACAUAAAUACAACAUGUAUAAAAUCAACAGCCAUUGAACUCAAGAGCAUUCCAGUAAAUUUUAUGUAUGAACUUUAGUUGUACCAUAAACUAGUUUUUGUAUGAGAGGGCAAGGCCAAAGAAAAGGAGUUUUGGUUUCUUUUGACUUUGUUUUGUCUACAUUAUUUGUUUUACCUUGGCCUGUUUGUUGUAUGUGUGGAGUUUGUUGUUCAACAAUAAACUUAACUUUUAUUUUGUGAGUUACACCUCUUAUUGUUUUGUUUGUUUUUCAAAAUCCCAUAAUUCAUUGUGACAGACUAAACAAGCUAGCUGUAGCUAGAAAAAUGUAAACCGGUAUUGCUAAUGCCUGUCCUUCAGUAUUAUUUGUUAACUGGAACAUCUGAUGUUCCACCUAUUAAUUCAGUUCAUGACACACUCCACUUUGACACAUGACAAAUGUAAGAAUUGGAGCACUAUUCAUUUUCCAAGACCACUUUCUAGACUAUUUAUUAGUACAAAUAAAAUUAAUUGAUUUUAUGUGGCUACAUAAAAGCAGCAUUAUUACAUGGUUUAGGAAGUUACACUCCAAAACAUUAGAUCGAUAUUAAAAAUGGCAUGGUUCCACAAAAUGUGAAUCAUUUGCAGCCAAAAUGAAAAAAAGUGCCAGUUGUUUUUUCGUUCUCAACCAUAUAAACACAUUUUUCUAAAUCUAAAACCUUAAAAAAAGCAGGUUUUCUAUCCUAAAGAUUGAGUUUACACUCAUUUACUUCUUUAGAAAGGAAAUGCUACUCCGAUACUUCCAGAAGCAAGCUUUUAACGCAUUACGUUCUUACAUCUGGUGUUCUCACUGCCUUCGCACAGCUGCCAGAGACUUCCCCACUAGACUUAUAAGUGCAGGUCAUUUGGCUCUGCAGACGUGAACUGUGUGUGUGUUUGGCUAAAACACUGGCUGAUGUCAUGUCUAAGUAGGCGUCUAUUUCAGGCUUACAUGUCAGGGUCAGGUUUGAGGAGAGUGAAUACUUGUGGUCUAGACUGUAGAACGAGUGAGUGUGAAUGUGUUUGAAACCACUCAGUCAUCUUAUGCCUUUUUUUCUACAGAGACAUUUACUUAGAUAGAAAUCCUCAAACCUUCUAUGAUUCCAUAAAAUAGACCAUUCAGCUCAGAAAACAAUAACUUAUAAGAAAAUACUAAAUAUUCCACAUUUCAUUUUUCAACUCACAUUUUGUCUUACCAGUUCAUCCCUUGCAUCUCUCUCACACAUUUCCCAGUUUUUAGUGAAAGCAUUGGUUUGAUCAUGAUAAAAGGAGCUGCUUAGACUAGACCGAAUGGCAGCCUUCCACCAGCCUUCAUCGAAGUUCAUCUCAGUAUGCAGACAGCAGCUCGAGGGUUUGAGGUUCCAGCAGCAGCACUGCUGGUGUGUCACAACAGCACGAUGCCAAUCUAUCAAACACAACAUGUAAAUGCAUGUCAGGAUGUUGGCAACUGAAAUUCUGUGAACAUUCAUGUAGUCUUACUUACAAGUAACAAGACGGCUACAUUUCUCAGGCAUACUAAGGUGGCUUACUAAGUAAGUUAGUAUGUACUUAACGUUACUAAGUUGGCGAUAAAUUGGAAAUGAGGUAGUGAGCAUUUAAAACACGCACUAACUGAAACAGCAGCAAGGUGCUUAACAGAUACUAACGUGGAAAUGCAGCUAGUUAACGAUAAAUCUGCCCCAGAUACAGACGUUCAAAUAAGUUGACACUUUAAUUACUAAUCUUACCAGAUGUGCAGACGUAUACGACCCGAUUCGAAGGAUAUCCCGUUUAAGAUCUCUCCACGAUCAUUCUUUUUUUUUUUUUCUUUAUGAAAGCCAAAUGAAAAACUAAAACUGGACAAAUCACAGGUAAACACAGUCCAUGACAUGCUGAGGUCCACGUAAAAUAAUGUCUAUAACAUCUGCAGACGUGCAGAAUUCACGAGUUCUCGGUAGAUAUGACAAAGUGAAGCGCAUCCCAUUCAAAUAAACCGUCAACCGUUUGUCUCUUUAAAAUUCACUGUGCUCUUCUGCCGCCUACUGGCAAACAAAGCUAUUGCACAUCAGCUGCAUCACAUUAAGGAACGGAAACGGUCUCCGUGUAGGUUCAACUUAUUUUGAAACUUGAAACGCGUUCUGUGUGACCCGGAUCAGUUAGUAAAUCUCAUAACACACUCAAAUAAAAUCGAUAUAUUUUAAUUGAUUAAAUAUAUAAAAUAUAAAAAAUAUAUUAAAUAUAAAAUUAAUUUCAUAUUACAAUGUUUUCUUCAUAUUCAAUAAUUCAGAGUCAUUUAAUAAGAUUUAAACUAAGUUUGAUUGUUAGACUAGACAGUAAUUCACAUUGGUCUAUUGACUAAGUCUUUAGCUGAUUGAAGUAGUGUAACAUCAUGGAACUUUAAGAUAGCCUUAUUAAUAUUCUAUGGUAUUUACAUUAUAGUCCAAAGUGCAUCCAUUUUUUCUUAGUUCCCCCUCUCCUUCCAACCUUUAUCCAGCAAUUUUUACAUACUUUAAGUCCCAAAGUCUUUGUCUCCAAACCCUUUACAAAUGCAGGUGGCCAUUUGCUUUCUUAAAACAGAGACAUGACCAGCUGUAGGCCUACCCAUUGAUGCAUUCAAGUGGGGAUUGGGGGAAGGGGCAACAAUCCCCCCACCACCACUAUCAUUAAUUUCCUCCACACCCAUCACACAUGCACACCAGCUUGCCUUUUGUUUUCCUACCUUUCCUUGAACCAAAGCAGCCUUUGCUUAGUAACGUAUAAUCAAAGGACAUCUUGUGUUGGAUACGGCAAGUGCCAC